AUUUGUCCACAUCUUACUGGGCAGCAUUGGAGUGAUUAUUGCCUCUCUAAUACUGUCAGGUAAUGAUGUACUCAGAU
RNAcentral lists this microRNA precursor (77 nucleotides) under Trialeurodes vaporariorum (greenhouse whitefly). RNAcentral describes it as "mir-8/mir-141/mir-200 microRNA precursor family". The stretch from base 5 to 73 matches the Rfam family "mir-8/mir-141/mir-200 microRNA precursor family". Rfam says of the family: The bounds of the precursors are predicted based on conservation and base pairing and are not generally known. Lineage: Eukaryota; Metazoa; Arthropoda; Insecta; Hemiptera; Aleyrodidae. The record is from RNAcentral.